GCCGGGUGUAGUGGCACACACCUGUAAUCCCAGUGGCUCAGGAGGCUGAGGCAGGAGGAUCACAAGUUCAAAGCCAGCCUCAGCCACAGCGAGACGCUAAGCAACUCAGUGAGACCCUGUCUCUA
Molecule: small RNA, 125 nt
Filed under: Marmota monax (woodchuck)
Lineage: Eukaryota; Metazoa; Chordata; Mammalia; Rodentia; Sciuridae
Source: RNAcentral